RNAcentral lists this long non-coding RNA (1887 nucleotides) under Rattus norvegicus (Norway rat). Its description in RNAcentral is "long non-coding RNA NONRATT000189". The record is from RNAcentral. Lineage: Eukaryota; Metazoa; Chordata; Mammalia; Rodentia; Muridae.
ACGGGAAGAAUCCUGUCGGUCAGAGAGAAGAGACGGAUGCUGGUGCUUACCUCUCUUUCGCUCAGUUCGGAGCCCCAGCACACAGAAUAGUGAAGCUAUGAUAGGUCCGCCCCUAUCCAUCACUCUAUUAGUUUAAUCUAGAAUCCCUUGGAUUACCUGUACAGGCACAACCGGAGACUCGCCUCCUAGGUGACUCUGCAUCCUGUCAACUUGACAGGCAGCAUGAACCAGCACAGGAUGCCAAUGCAGAGACGUGGGCGUCGGAGCCCCUCUGAGCAAGAGCCAGGACGAGGGUGCUGGGAGGCCAGCUGAGAGCUUGCUUCCAACGAGGCAGAGAGGACAGUCUGAUGAGGCGGCAUCCACUAGUCUUGAAGGUCUUAAGCUUUGAAACGGAAUGUUAUGACAACCUCAGAAACUGUCACAGGAGUGGGGAAGCUCUUAAAGCAAGGUCAGGAGCAUUUUACAAAAUGGAACCACGCCCCUUUUCAGCUGUCCUGUGGUACCCACUAAGGAGCCGGGUGCUACUUAAAAACACAAAUGAGCCCAUCUGGGGGGCUCUGCUCUCCCCCACACUGAGCUCCUGUUAGAACAUGAAAGGGUGGCUGCUCUCCUCUGCAGUCUUUGGAGAAUGGCCCAUGGCAGACAUUUGCAGACUGAGGGCAGUCAGCAGAGGCUGGAUACAAACAAAACAAGAAGAAAAAGGUUAGCGUUUUAAGACGGUACCUGAAAGGUAUUCGUUAUAAGACGGAGAAGCUGGCAGUGCUUGGACUGAUGCCCUCCUCCCUGUGUGCAGCUAUGCACCACCUGGUACAACCACACACCCCCACUAGAAAAGCUGCCCAUGGGGCCCACAAAGGCACAUCCUGUCCAGUGUCACUGCAGACUUAAAUGUCUGUGCACCGAGUCAUCAAAUGGCAGCCACACAGUCAAGUGUGACUCUGACCUUGAAGAGCCAAGGGGUGACCCGGGUUCUAGAGCCCUCUGUUUAAGGGACAACGUAUUAUAAACACAAAUAAAUCUGGGCUUGCAGAAAUCAGAACACCACAUUCUGGGUUUUUUGUGUACCAGAGUAGACAGUGCAGGGGAGGCUGAGUUCCCACAAGGUGCUAAGCCGGGCACAUCUGCCCUGCCAUGCGGGCCAGAAAUCACACAGAGAAAACUGGACGCUACUCUUCAGGGGACCCUGUGUUGUAGAGGCCCUGUAGGCCUCCCUUGGAUCCUAAGGCCACUUUAUCUGGGACCUGAGCUUGCCUUCACUGAAUUCUGUGGCUUGGCCAAGUAAAUAUUCAAUCCAGGCCAUCCAGCCUCCUGACCUCCAGGGGGCCAUCUGCUCAAUUGUAAAAUAGGAAUGACACUCACCCACCCCCUGGGUUGCUGUGAGAGUGGGAAGAGGCUAACCUUGGGAAGGUAGGAUCACAGAACAAAUCGGGUGGAGGAAUGGCAGGCGGCUUCUAAGCUGUGACUUCUCAAAGUACUUGGCAAGAACCAGACCGUGGUACAAGGCUUAGUCUCUUUGGUUUUGACCUGUCUUUGGUGGCAGGGCAGAGACAUUUUAGGUAAACUGAAUGGGGAGUGGUAUCUGAAUGGCCUUAGAACACAAAAGGGAACAGGAGUUUGAGGGGAACCCCAGCAGCGUGCCUCAGCUGGCUGGCCUGACCUGACUCUCUCCCUAGCCCGUUUCCUUAAUUCAGAGUCAGGGAUUCACAGGAUCCUUUGAAAAGAUCUUGGCAUGAUGGCUACAGAACGGAGGCUCACUGAAAACCUCCACUAGGUUUUCAGAAAAUCAAUUGUUUUUCUAUGUGCUAACAGAGACCUGGAAUACAUCUUAACGCCUUAAUUUCUAAAGUGUGCAAAACCUUGGAAAAGUAACAGGAUGUUCAAAACGUU